CCUACGGGCGGCAGCAGUGGGGAAUAUUGGACAAUGGGCGAAAGCCUGAUCCAGCCAUGCCGCGUGUGUGAAGAAGGCCUUCGGGUUGUAAAGCACUUUCAGUGGGGAAGAAAGCCUUGGGGCUAAUACCCUCGAGGAAGGACAUCACCCACAGAAGAAGCAUCGGCUAACUCCGUGCCAGCAGCCGCGGUAAUACGGAGGGUGCGAGCGUUAAUCGGAAUUACUGGGCGUAAAGCGCGCGUAGGCGGUCUGAUAAGCCGGUUGUGAAAGCCCCGGGCUCAACCUGGGAACGGCAUCCGGAACUGGCAGGCUAGAGUGCAGGAGAGGAAGGUAGAAUUCCCGGUGUAGCAGUGAAAUGCGUAGAGAUCGGGAGGAAUACCAGUGGCGAAGGCGGCCUUCUGGACUGACACUGACGCUGAGGUGCGAAAGCGUGGGUAGCAAACAGGAUUAGAUACCCUAGUAGUC
This 465-nucleotide ribosomal RNA is filed under the name Vreelandella stevensii. Its description in RNAcentral is "partial 16S ribosomal RNA". It matches the Rfam family "Bacterial small subunit ribosomal RNA", at positions 338 to 795 of the family's 1533-position model. Lineage: Bacteria; Pseudomonadati; Pseudomonadota; Gammaproteobacteria; Oceanospirillales; Halomonadaceae. The record is from RNAcentral.